RNA transcript from Maniola jurtina (meadow brown), 1084 nucleotides. It is a transcript of the gene named putative glutathione-specific gamma-glutamylcyclotransferase 2, with no coding region annotated. Lineage: Eukaryota; Metazoa; Arthropoda; Insecta; Lepidoptera; Nymphalidae. The record is from RefSeq and is a predicted model, not a curated record. The transcript has 7 exons.
GAAAAUACUUUUUCAUUGGCUUUUGGAAACAAAUUGAAAAAUAAAACAAAACGUGACCAAAAAUGUGGGUGUUCGGUUACGGGUCACUUGUAUGGAAAGUUGAUUUCAAAUACGAGUGCAAACUUGUAGGUUAUUUAAAAGGUUACCUUAGAAGGUUUUAUCAGCAUAGUAUUGAUCACAGAGGAGUUCCUGAAAAGCCUGGCAGAGUAGUUACUCUUAUACCUAGCAAUGAUCCAGACAGCUCAGUUUGGGGUGUAGCGUACAAAAUAAACGAAGAAGACAUAGAACAAGUGACAACACACUUGGAUUAUAGAGAGAAGAAUGGAUACUCAAAGAAAACUGUUACAUUCCAUCCAAAAGACCCAAGUUGGCAGCCUUUUGAGCUAACAUUGUAUGUUGCUAUGAAGGAUAAUGAGUCUUAUGCAGGUGCAGCGUCAAUAGGAGACCUAGCAAAGCAAGUGUUAAGUUGCAGUGGCCCGAGUGGCAGCAACAAGGAGUAUGUCUACAACCUAGCAGAGGCGAUGAGGCAGCUGGCUCCAGGAGUUGAAGAUGAGCAUCUGUUCUCUCUCGAAGCUGCUGUCAGGAAACUAGACCCUGAUAUGAGGAAAAAUAGUUGAUAAAACCUAUUACAAAGUACUAGCUAAUAUUCUGCAUGUUUGCAAUAUGACUUACCCAGAUAACUUGUAUUAUGAGGAAAAGUUGGGAGGAGGGGAGAAGUGAUGAUUGAAAAAAAUGUGAUGAAAAAAUCAUAUCUCCUAAACUACUAAAAAUCGCUGAACUUGAAUUUAGAGGUCAUUUGGAUACCACUUAAUAUAAGGUAUUUUUUUUACUUUUGGACUUCAAUUCCAACGUAAUGGGCAAAACAACUCCAAAAUUAAACAGAGCCAUGAUAUAUGUUAUCAAAUGAAACCACAACAUUUUAGUAACAUUUAUUAAUAAAAAAUAAUUUCGCUCAAAUAGGUAACCACUAGCAAACACUAUCAUACAAUUAUAAAAUUAGCCAUUUAAAAAUAUUUACAUUAAUAUUACGCCUUUUAAUUAUUAUUAUUGUUUAUUAUUAAAUAAAAAAACCACCUUACGAUCA